This 463-nucleotide ribosomal RNA is filed under the name uncultured bacterium. RNAcentral's name for it is "partial 16S ribosomal RNA". It matches the Rfam family "Bacterial small subunit ribosomal RNA", at positions 28 to 507 of the family's 1533-position model. The record is from RNAcentral.
GACGAACGCUGGCGGCGUGCUUAACACAUGCAAGUCGAACGGAAAGGCCUUUUCGGAGGUACUCGAGUGGCGAACGGGUGAGUAACACGUGGGUGAUCUGCCCUGCACUCUGGGAUAAGCCUGGGAAACUGGGUCUAAUACCGGAUAGGACCGCACUUUAGUGUGUGUGGUGGAAAGUUGUUUCGGUGUAGGAUGAGCCCGCGGCCUAUCAGCUUGUUGGUGGGGUAAUGGCCUACCAAGGCGGCGACGGGUAGCCGGACUGAGAGGUUGGUCGGCCACAUUGGGACUGAGAUACGGCCCAGACUCCUACGGGAGGCAGCAGUGGGGAAUAUUGCACAAUGGGCGCAAGCCUGAUGCAGCGACGCCGCGUGGGGGAUGACGGCCUUCGGGUUGUAAACUCCGUUCGCCAGGGACGAAGCGUUUUGUGACGGUACCUGGAGAAGAAGCACCGGCUAACUACGUG